RNAcentral lists this ribosomal RNA (447 nucleotides) under uncultured bacterium. Its description in RNAcentral is "bacterial SSU rRNA". It matches the Rfam family "Bacterial small subunit ribosomal RNA", at positions 227 to 695 of the family's 1533-position model. The record is from RNAcentral.
GGGCUUGCGUCCGAUUAGCUGGUUGGUAGGGUAACGGCUUACCAAGGCGAGGAUCGGUAGCUGGUUUGAGAGGACGGUCAGCCACACUGGGACUGAGACACGGCCCAGACUCCUACGGGAGGCAGCAGCAAGGAAUAUUGCGCAAUGGGCGAAAGCCUGACGCAGCGACGCCGCGUGGGGGAUGAAGGCUUCCGGGUUGUAAACCCCUUUUCUCAGGGAAGUGACGGUACCUGAGGAAUAAGUCUCGGCUAACUACGUGCCAGCAGCCGCGGUAAUACGUAGGAGGCGAGCGUUAUCCGGAUUUACUGGGCGUAAAGCGGGCGUAGGCGGUCCUUCAAGUCGGAUGUAAAAUCUCCCGGCUCAACUGGGAGAGACCAUUCGAAACUGCUGGGCUUGAGGAUAGCAGAGGGAGGUGGAAUUCCCGGUGUAGUGGUGAUAUGCGUAGAU